Molecule: RNA transcript, 1553 nt
Organism: Sapajus apella (tufted capuchin)
Lineage: Eukaryota; Metazoa; Chordata; Mammalia; Primates; Cebidae
Gene name: ATP-dependent RNA helicase DDX39A-like
Exons: 2
Source: RefSeq, a predicted model, not a curated record
UUCUACAUCAUGUAGUAACUGAGAGUCAUCAUAAUAGUAAUAGAGCCAUCUAAAUUCAAAAGCUUGACAUUAUCUCAGAUUCUUCUCAACUUCUCACACCAAAUCUUAUGAGGCCCUAAGGCUAUUCUUGUGCUUUAGUCUGAGCACCCGGCAGAAAAACCGAAGACAGAAGGCUCUCCCAUCAGCACGCGGAGAAGAAUGGGGAGGCAGCAACAUGAAAGAAAGUGAUAUGGAAAACGAGCUUUUGGAUUACGACAAAGAGGAAGAGCCCCAGGCUCCUCAAGAGAGCACGCAGGCUACCCCUAAAAAAGACAUCGAGGGAUCCUACAUUUCCAUCCACAGUUCUGGCUUCCAGUACUUUCUGCUGAAGCCAGAGCUCCUUCAGGCCAUCGUGGACUGUGGCUUUGAGUAUCCAUCUGAGGUCCAGCACGAGUGCAUUCCCCAGGCCAUCCUGGGCAUGAACGUCCUGUGCCAGGCCAAGCCUCAGAUGGGCAAGACGCUGGCCACCCUGCAGCAGAUCGAGCCCAUCGACAGACAGGUUUCGGUCCUGGUCAUGUGCCACAAGAGGGAGCUGGCCUUCCAGAUCAGCAAGGAAUAUGAGCACUUCUCCAAGUACAUGUCCAGCGUCAAGUUGUCUAUGUUCUUCAGGGGCCUCUCCAUCAAGAAGCAUGAAGAAGUAUUGAAGAAGAACUGUCCGCAUGUUGUGGUGGGGACCCCAGGCCACAUCCUGGUGUCUGGGCCAAACAGGAGCUUCAGCCAAAAGAACACGAAGCCCUUUGUGCUGGAAGAGUGCGACAAGAUGCUGGAGCAGCUAGACAUGCGGCGGGAGGUGCAGGAGAUCUUCGGCCUGACGCCGCGCGAGAAGCCGUGCAGGAUGUUCAGCACCACCCUGAGCAAGGACAUCGGGCCUGUGUGCAAGAAGUUUAUGCAGGGUCCCAUGGAGGUGUUUGUGGAUGACGAGACCAAGCUCACCCUGCACGGACUGCAGCAGUACUGCCUCAAACUCAGACACUGAGAAGACCCGCAAGCUCUUCGAACUCCUGGACGUGCUGAAGUUUAACCAGGUGAUAAUCCAUCAAGUCAGCGCAACGCUGCAUGACCCUGGCCCAGCACCUUGUGGAACAGAAAGAACUUCCUGGCCUUCACAAUCCAGUGGGACAUGGCCCAGGAGGGGGCCUGUCACUCUAUCAGCAGUUCAAGGUUCCAACUGUGGAUCCUGGUGGCCACCAAUCUCUUUGGCCGAGGGAUAGAUACUGAGCGAUUCAACCAACAUCGCCUUUACGACAUGCCUGAGGACUUAGACACCUACCUGCACCGCAUGGCCCGGCGGGUCGCUUUGGCACCAAAGGGCUAGCCAUCACUUUUGUGUUUGACGAGAAUGAUGCCAAAAUCAUCAAUGACAUCCAGGACUAGUUUAAAGUUAUUGUGCAGAGCUUCCAGAGGAAAUUGACAUCUCCACGUACAUUAAGCAGAGCCGGUAACCACCAUGUGCCCCGCCAGUCCAGAGCUGCCAACCCGGAGCCUCCUGCAUGCAGCUUCACCUCUCCUUUCCA